ACAUUUGAAAAAGUUGAAUGAUUCAAGAUGGGAUUCAGAUUAUGAGAAACUGUGGAAGCCUCCACCAAAUCAUGGCUUUCUACCCUGCACUAAGCUUACUCCUAAUUAUACAACUUCUCUUCCUCUUCCUACUUCUCCCUUGCUAUUUUUCUCCUCACCUUCUCAACCUUCACUGGCAGAUUCCCCUUAAUCCAAAGAGAUCAGCAAUAUGAAUGCGUUUUUUGAAGACGACGAAGAAGAAGAAGCGCAACAAGGUAUAGAAGAUGGGAUGCAAAUCAGGUAUGCUUUACUCCAUAUUUCACAUACAAGAUUUGCAUGUGGCCUUU
Molecule: non-coding RNA, 326 nt
Organism: Arachis ipaensis
Lineage: Eukaryota; Viridiplantae; Streptophyta; Magnoliopsida; Fabales; Fabaceae
Source: RefSeq, a predicted model, not a curated record